UAAUGUAAGCUCAACACAUUUGGUCUUAAUCUGAAUGCCUGGACUGGGAUGAGUUCUGUAGGGCUGCAAUAAAAUAAAUAUUUUCCUGCACUGAGAACACCUCAGGGAAAGGUUCAAUGUCAGGUCAGCAAAGGGAGCUCUUUAACCAUAUUUUGCUAGACAUGGACCAUAUCCUCCUCUAAGAAACUGUCAGAGCUCCAUAGUGGCUGGUGGUUAGGAAGUGAUUGAAAAUAUUCACCUCUUGCUCAUUUUAAAUGUUGGAUUUGGUUGGAAUUUGACCAAAGCUGGGCAGCGGGUACAGCCCCAGCUUGCAGCAACAAGAAUGUUUCCAGCAGAAAAACAAAAAUUAUUAGUGAGUGAAGGACUUUUGGUUGGAAUUCCCUUUCCUUCCCUGCCCUGCUCAAAUUGGAUUACUUGCAGGAACAAAGGGAACAAGCAGCCCUGCUGCAGCAGACCAGUCCCAGGAACCAAGAGAAAUGUGAUCCACAGAUGCAUUAUAAAAAGGGAAGGCAGAGGUACCGGGGCAGGAAGUUUGCCUUUUUGCUGCAGUGAGACAGUGCCUGAAUAUUUUGUGACAUUGCACAUCUGGUGCAGAACUAACCUGAACAUCAAAAGAAUUUGUUAAGGACUCCUUUCCUGGGUGCUGGAGGGAGAAUUUCCCUGGAGCUGGCUACAAGAAGGAAUGUCUGUACAGCCAUAUCUGGUAAUGUUCCUGUGCCUUACUGGGACCAUCCCUUUCCCUCCACAGUCUGCAGGAGGGCCUAGGACAGGGGUUUAGGUGGGCAAUGGAGUGGACAAGGUUUGUCAGCUCUGAGGAAAGUGCAUGGCCCAGGAGAGGCUGAAAAUAUUAAUGGAUUUCUUUCUGUAAAGAUUAAACUGAACUUCUUUGUGCAAAAAGUAAUGAUACUUAGUGCUGGGCUUGGUAGUGUUAGGUUAAUGGUUGGACUUGAUAAUCUUAUUUUUUUUUUCCAAACCUAAAAUAUUCUGUGGCUCUGUAUGAUACAAGAGGACUAAAAUAUCUUUUAUUUUUCCCCUUAGCAAUCUUAUUAGCAGCAUUCAGUGAAGUGAACACAUGUUCAGGGAUGCCCCAAGCAUGAACCCACAUCUGGGCAGUACCACCUCCAGGAUGGAGGCCACUGGGAAUCCUUCCUGGGGCUGUGGGGGUUUUUCAGGAUGUGCUGUUAUGCAGGGCCCUUGUAGCUGUUGGGGAGUGGCUCCUCAGGAGGCUCCACCAGCCAUUUAUGAUGGGCUCAGCCACCUGAGCUUGCUGAGCCAGCCCUGCCCUCUCCAGACCAAGGAAAUAAAGGUGCUUCAUCAGCCUGUACA
This 1326-nucleotide long non-coding RNA is filed under the name Cyanistes caeruleus (blue tit). RNAcentral describes it as "lncRNA (ENSCCEG00000010868.1)". The record is from RNAcentral. Lineage: Eukaryota; Metazoa; Chordata; Aves; Passeriformes; Paridae.